UACGUAGGGGCCGAGCGUUGUCCGGAGUUAUUGGGCGUAAAGCGCGCGCAGGCGGCUUGGCGCGCCCGACGUGAAAGCCCCCGGCUUAACCGGGGAGGGUCGUCGGGUACGGUCAGGCUUGAGGGCGGGAGAGGGUGGUGGAAUUCCCGGUGUAGUGGUGAAAUGCGUAGAUAUCGUGAGGAAGACCAGUGGCGAAGGCGGGUCUCUGGGCCGGUACUGACACUGAGGAGCGAAAGCGUGGGUAGCAAACAGG
Molecule: ribosomal RNA, 253 nt
Filed under: uncultured bacterium
Lineage: Bacteria
Description: partial 16S ribosomal RNA
Rfam family: Bacterial small subunit ribosomal RNA
Source: RNAcentral